Molecule: ribosomal RNA, 17 nt
Filed under: Rhizoctonia sp. AG-A
Lineage: Eukaryota; Fungi; Basidiomycota; Agaricomycetes; Cantharellales; Ceratobasidiaceae
Description: partial 18S ribosomal RNA
Source: RNAcentral
AGGAUCAUUAUUGAAUG